CAGUCGCCGCGGUAAUACGAAGGGGGCAAGCGUUGUUCGGAAUUACUGGGCGUAAAGGGCGCGUAGGCGGUGUACUAAGUUAGGCGUGAAAGCCCUGGGCUCAACCCGGGAAUUGCGCUUGAUACUGGUACGCUUGAAUCCAGGAGAGGUUGGUGGAAUUCCCAGUGUAGAGGUGAAAUUCGUAGAGAUGUGGAGGAACACCAGUGGCGAAGGCGACUCUCUGGUCUGUAACUGACGCUGAGGAGCGAAAGCGUGGGGAGCGAACAGGAUUAGAUACCCGUGUAGUCCCUGUCUCUUAUAC
This 301-nucleotide ribosomal RNA is filed under the name uncultured bacterium. RNAcentral's name for it is "partial 16S ribosomal RNA". It matches the Rfam family "Bacterial small subunit ribosomal RNA", at positions 509 to 807 of the family's 1533-position model. The record is from RNAcentral.